This 320-nucleotide ribosomal RNA is filed under the name uncultured eukaryote. Its description in RNAcentral is "partial 18S ribosomal RNA". It matches the Rfam family "Eukaryotic small subunit ribosomal RNA", at positions 1470 to 1796 of the family's 1831-position model. The record is from RNAcentral.
CCCCAAGAUGUUCUGGGCCGCACGCGCGCUACACUGAACAGUUCAACAAGUCUUAACCUUGGCCGAUAGGUCUGGGUAAUCUUUGAACGCUGUUCGUGAUUGGGAUAGACCUUUGCAAUUAUGGGUCUUCAACGAGGAAUUCCUAGUAAACGCAAGUCAUCAGCUUGCAUUGAUUACGUCCCUGCCCUUUGUACACACCGCCCGUCGCACCUACCGAUUGAAUGGUCCGGUGAAAUCUCGGGACGGCGGCUUGGUCGCUUGCGUCCGACUGCUGAAACUUGAUUAAACCAUAUCAUUUAGGGGAAGGUGAAGUCGUAACA